GGAACAAUAAAGUAAUUAAGGUAAUCACAUUCUCCUUGGACCCUUUUCUGGACUUCUGAUGUUGUCGGAUUUGUCAUGCAUCUUCUUACUGAUAUGCAGGGCACAGGUAUUAAUUUCGCCAACAUUCAAAAUUCUCCUGUGUACCCAAUUAUAUAUGCAAAAUCAGCCAAGAAAAGUGGAGUAGACGAAAAUGCAACAAGGUGGCUAAUAAUUGAAGCAAAUUUGUUCAAGCAAUUUGCACACUAAAUGAUCGGUUAUUCCGUGUUCUGUUGUUCAGGAACUGCGAACCAAAUUCGAUGGACCAAGAAAUUAUCAAAGGAAAGAUUGUUGUCUGUGACAAUGAAGAUUCAUUGUAUCCACAGAUAAAUAAACAAGAUGAAGUGAAGAAACUUGGAGGUAUUGGGGUAAUCUUGAUUGACGAUGAAUUAAGAGGCGUCGCAUUCAAUUUCGGUACAUUUCCAAUGACUCUGAUCAGUUCAAAAGAUGGUGCUAAGGUUCUCUCCUACAUCAACUCAACAAAGUAAUACAGCUACUCAUCUCAAAUGGAACUCAAGAUUGAAUUUAAUUCAAGGUUUCAAUCUACUUACCAUUUGCCUGUUUUGAGAUUUGUAGAAAUCCAGUUGCCACGAUCUUGCCUACGACAGCACCAGCAAAUUAUAAACCGGCACCUACUAUAGCAUAUUUCUCAUCUGGAGGCCCUUCCACCAUCCCAAAGAAU
This 718-nucleotide long non-coding RNA is filed under the name Gossypium barbadense (sea-island cotton). RNAcentral's name for it is "long non-coding RNA (GBAR_LNC003841)". The record is from RNAcentral. Lineage: Eukaryota; Viridiplantae; Streptophyta; Magnoliopsida; Malvales; Malvaceae.